This 484-nucleotide ribosomal RNA is filed under the name uncultured bacterium. Its description in RNAcentral is "partial 16S ribosomal RNA". It matches the Rfam family "Bacterial small subunit ribosomal RNA", at positions 30 to 507 of the family's 1533-position model. The record is from RNAcentral.
AUUGAACGCUGGCGGCAGGCCUAACACAUGCAAGUCGAGCGGAUGAAGGGAGCUUGCUCCUGGAUUCAGCGGCGGACGGGUGAGUAAUGCCUAGGAAUCUGCCUGGUAGUGGGGGAUAACGUCCGGAAACGGGCGCUAAUACCGCAUACGUCCUGAGGGAGAAAGUGGGGGAUCUUCGGACCUCACGCUCUCAGAUGAGCCUAGGUCGGAUUAGCUAGUUGGUGGGGUAAAGGCCUACCAAGGCGACGAUCCGUAACUGGUCUGAGAGGAUGAUCAGUCACACUGGAACUGAGACACGGUCCAGACUCCUACGGGAGGCAGCAGUGGGGAAUAUUGGACAAUGGGCGAAAGCCUGAUCCAGCCAUGCCGCGUGUGUGAAGAAGGUCUUCGGAUUGUAAAGCACCUUAAGUUGGGAGGAAGGGCAGUAAGUUAAUACCUUGCUGUUUUGACGUUACCAACAGAAUAAGCACCGGCUAACUUCGUG